This 490-nucleotide ribosomal RNA is filed under the name uncultured bacterium. RNAcentral describes it as "partial 16S ribosomal RNA". It matches the Rfam family "Bacterial small subunit ribosomal RNA", at positions 29 to 507 of the family's 1533-position model. The record is from RNAcentral.
AGUGAACGCUGGCGGCAGGCCUAACACAUGCAAGUCGAACGGCAGCACAGGGGAGCUUGCUCCCUGGGUGGCGAGUGGCGGACGGGUGAGGAAUACAUCGGAAUCUACCCUGUCGUGGGGGAUAACGUAGGGAAACUUACGCUAAUACCGCAUACGACCUCCGGGUGAAAGCAGGGGAUCGCAAGACCUUGCGCGAUUGGAUGAGCCGAUGUCCGAUUAGCUAGUUGGCGGGGUAAAGGCCCACCAAGGCGACGAUCGGUAGCUGGUCUGAGAGGAUGAUCAGCCACACUGGAACUGAGAAACGGUCCAGACUCCUACGGGAGGCAGCAGUGGGGAAUAUUGGACAAAGGGCGAAAGCCUGAUCCAGCCAUGCCGCGUGGGUGAAGAAGGCCUUCGGGUUGUAAAGCCCUUUUGUUGGGAAAGAAAACUUUCCGGUUAAUACCCGGAGAGAAUGACGGUACCCAAAGAAUAAGCACCGGCUAACUUCGUG